RNAcentral lists this long non-coding RNA (1172 nucleotides) under Helianthus annuus (common sunflower). RNAcentral's name for it is "hypothetical non coding rna". The record is from RNAcentral. Lineage: Eukaryota; Viridiplantae; Streptophyta; Magnoliopsida; Asterales; Asteraceae.
AUUCUAUCAUACGAAACCCUAACCUCCCCGCAAGCUUCUAUCAUACGCUUUCCUGAGAUGCUUCUUCUUCUUCUACCUGCAUCUCAUUCUCUCUGAGUCACUUGUGCUUGAAUGGCUUAACAAAGGAUUCCAAAAUCAAGCUUAUUCACGAAGGUUUUAAUUUUUUGAUCGUUCGUUCUUCUGUGAAACCCUAACGGUGUAUUAAGAUUUUAAUCAAAACCAACUGUUUGAUCCAUCUUGUGGUUCAAUCGUAUGUUUAUCUUUGUGCAUCUUGUGUUUAUUUUGCUUAUUUUCUAUUCUAAUUGCUUCUAAACUACCCCCGAUUUCUUCAAGCUUUUGUUAAUUGACUCAUACAACAGUCCCUGCAUAUUUUCAAUUUCUAUGAUCCUUGAUCAAAAGAUGAUUGCUAGACUAACAACGAUUAUAUGGAUCAAUUCAUUUUAGGGCUGGUAAAACUCGCUUUUACGAUCUGUUAGGGUUUCAAUUCAUUUGUUGUUUUAAAUGCACAAUAAAUUCAAAAUAUGAUUUGAACGAUUAGAGUUCUUGAUAUAUAUUAUUACACACUGACACAUUUAUUGUUGAUUGAAGAAAAUUGUGAAGUUGGAAAUUAAUUGAUAAGGGUUUUAUCUUUGAAUAAAAUUGUUUUUUUUCUAGAACGUUUUUUGAUAAAUUAGAUGUCUUUUAUUGAUCAUACUCAAUUCAUGGGAGAUGCGAAUGACUACACAAUUUUAUGGUCGUGAAGGCUGGGCAACAUUAUUCUUUAUUGCAGGUAUGUUUGUGUCCAGUGAGAAGCUCACGUCUAGCGAUUAGCAGCGGGUUAUGCUAAAACGGGUUGGUUUGAGCCAAAACAUUUUUUUAUCUCAUUAUGUUUGAUGGUUGUUGAGUGGGUUGGUUUGUUGUGAUGUGUUUAGGAUGAAUAGAGGAAGUUAAAUUGGGCAUGGAUGUUGUAUCUGCAGAUAGAGAUACUGGAGGGAUGCACUGGAUGCGAAAAAGGAGGCUUUGAUUCGGUUUCUUCAGAAUGGGUCGUUGGAGAUUGUUGGAGGUGAUGUGGUGAUGAAUGAUGAGUAUUUAAUCAUAAAUUAUAAGAGCACGAAUGUAUUAUGCUGAACUUGAUUGCUCAUGGUGGAUUAUUUAUGAUACAUAUAUUUUACAGUCUCGAAAGGCGAAUGUCU